This 372-nucleotide ribosomal RNA is filed under the name uncultured bacterium. RNAcentral's name for it is "bacterial SSU rRNA". It matches the Rfam family "Bacterial small subunit ribosomal RNA", at positions 524 to 898 of the family's 1533-position model. The record is from RNAcentral.
UACGUAGGGGGCAAGCGUUAUCCGGAUUCAUUGGGCGUAAAGCGCGCGUAGGCGGUCUGUUAGGUCAGGAGUCAAAUCCGGGGGCUCAACCCCCGUUCGCUUCUGAUACCGGCAGACUUGAGUUUGGUAGGGGAAGGUGGAAUUCCCAGUGUAGCGGUGGAAUGCGCAGAUAUUGGGAAGAACACCGGUGGCGAAGGCGGCCUUCUGGGCCAUAACUGACGCUGAGGCGCGAAAGCUAGGGGAGCGAACAGGAUUAGAUACCCUGGUAGUCCUAGCCGUAAACGAUGGACACUAGGUGUGGGGAGAUGUUCUCUCCGUGCCGCAGCUAACGCAUUAAGUGUCCCGCCUGGGGAGUACGGCCGCAAGGCUAAA